GAGUAAAAACAACAAAAAUGGUGGCACAGGUCAGUUUCCGUUUGUACAGGAGUCAAAAGUUAAAGUUGCUUCAAUGUUGGUAAAAAGUUUUGCAAAUUAUUGGUGGGGUUAAUAGGGUUAUAAAAAGGAAUAGUUUGCACCAUAUGUCAUGCUUAGUUAUCACAUUAUGGGGUAACAUAUGUCACAUCUCAUAGAAUCCAACGGUCGUCAACAUUGUUUGACCUUUACUUUGG
Thalassophryne amazonica is the source of this 233-nucleotide long non-coding RNA. RefSeq lists it as uncharacterized. Lineage: Eukaryota; Metazoa; Chordata; Actinopteri; Batrachoidiformes; Batrachoididae. The transcript is spliced from 3 exons. The record is from RefSeq and is a predicted model, not a curated record.